UCCCCAGUAGCUCAGUCGGCAGAGCGUGUGGCUGUUAACCACAUUGUCCGCGGUUCAAAUCCGUGCUGGGGAG
The sequence is a transfer RNA, 73 nucleotides long. It matches the Rfam family "tRNA". From Rfam's summary of the family: Transfer RNA (tRNA) molecules are approximately 80 nucleotides in length. Their secondary structure includes four short double-helical elements and three loops (D, anti-codon, and T loops). Further hydrogen bonds mediate the characteristic L-shaped molecular structure. tRNAs have two regions of fundamental functional importance: the anti-codon, which is responsible for specific mRNA codon recognition, and the 3' end, to which the tRNAs corresponding amino acid is attached (by aminoacyl-tRNA synthetases). tRNAs cope with the degeneracy of the genetic code in two manners: having more than one tRNA (with a specific anti-codon) for a particular amino acid; and 'wobble' base-pairing, i.e. permitting non-standard base-pairing at the 3rd anti-codon position. The record is from Rfam.